GUGUUGAUACUCAGACCUAGAGAUAGAAGGCGUCGAUACUCAGACCUAGAGAUAAAGGUGUUGAUACUCAGACCUAGAGAUAGAAAGUGUUGAUACUCAGACCUAGAGAUAGAAAGUGUUGAUACCCAGACCUAGAGAUAGAAGGUGUUGAUACCCAGACCUAGAGAUGGAAAGUGUUGAUACUCAGACCUAGAGAUGGAAAGUGUUGAUACUCAGACCUAGAGAUAGAAGGCGUCGAUACUCAGACCUAGAGAUAAAGGUGUUGAUACUCAGACCUAGAGAUAGAAAGUGUUGAUACCCAGACCUAGAGAUAGAAGGUGUUGAUACCCAGACCUAGAGAUAGAAGGCGUCGAUACUCAGACCUAGAGAUAAAGGUGUUGAUACCCAGACCUAGAGAUAGAAGGUGUUGAUACCCAGACCUAGAGAUAGAAGGCGUUGAUACCCAGACCUAGAGAUAAAAAGUGUUGAUACCCAGACCUAGAGAUAGGAGGUGUUGAUACUCAGACCUAGAGAUAGAAGGCGUUGAUACCCAGACCUAGAGAUGGAAGGCGUCGAUACCCAGACCUAGAGAUAAAGGUGUUGAUACCCAGACCUAGAGAUAAAGGCGUUGAUACCCAGACCUAGAGAUAAAAAGUGUUGAUACCCAGACCUAGAGAUAGAAGGCGUCGAUACCCAGACCUAGAGAUAAAAAGUGUUGAUACCCAGACCUAGAGAUAAAAAGUGUUGAUACCCAG
Long non-coding RNA from Acanthochromis polyacanthus (spiny chromis), 734 nucleotides. RefSeq lists it as uncharacterized. NCBI's taxonomy places the organism in Eukaryota, Metazoa, Chordata, Actinopteri, Pomacentridae. The record is from RefSeq and is a predicted model, not a curated record. The transcript has 6 exons.